GACGAACGCUGGCGGCGUGCUUAACACAUGCAAGUCGAACGGAAAGACCCUGCUUUUGUGGGGUGCUCGAGUGGCGAACGGGUGAGUAACACGUGAGUAACCUGCCCUUGACUUUGGGAUAACUUCAGGAAACUGGGGCUAAUACCGGAUAGGAGCUCCUGCUGCAUGGUGGGGGUUGGAAAGUUUCGGCGGUUGGGGAUGGACUCGCGGCUUAUCAGCUUGUUGGUGGGGUAGUGGCUUACCAAGGCUUUGACGGGUAGCCGGCCUGAGAGGGUGACCGGCCACAUUGGGACUGAGAUACGGCCCAGACUCCUACGGGAGGCAGCAGUGGGGAAUAUUGCACAAUGGGCGGAAGCCUGAUGCAUCAACGCCGCGUGCGGGAUGACGGCCUUCGGGUUGUAAACCGCUUUCGCCUGUGACGAAGCGUGAGUGACGGUAAUGGGUAAAGAAGCACCGGCUAACUACGUG
Molecule: ribosomal RNA, 468 nt
Filed under: uncultured bacterium
Lineage: Bacteria
Description: partial 16S ribosomal RNA
Rfam family: Bacterial small subunit ribosomal RNA
Source: RNAcentral